This 445-nucleotide ribosomal RNA is filed under the name uncultured bacterium. RNAcentral's name for it is "partial 16S ribosomal RNA". It matches the Rfam family "Bacterial small subunit ribosomal RNA", at positions 354 to 796 of the family's 1533-position model. The record is from RNAcentral.
GUGAGGAAUAUUGCGCAAUGGAGGCAACUCUGACGCAGCCAUGCCGCGUGCAGGAAGAAGGCGCUACGCGUUGUAAACUGCUUUUAACCGGGAAGAAACCCCAGGACGUGUCCUGGGUUGACGGUACCGGAGGAAUAAGCACCGGCUAACUUCGUGCCAGCAGCCGCGGUAAUACGAAGGGUGCAAGCGUUAUCCGGAUUCAUUGGGUUUAAAGGGUGCGUAGGCGGAGCGUUAAGUCAGUGGUGAAAUCCUGCAGCUUAACUGUAGACUUGCCAUUGAUACUGGCGCUCUUGAGUGCGCUUGAAGUGGGCGGAAUGUGCCGUGUAGCGGUGAAAUGCUUAGAUAUGGCACAGAACACCAAUUGCGAAGGCAGCUCACUAAGGCGAUACUGACGCUCAUGCACGAAAGCGUGGGGAGCAAACAGGAUUAGAAACCCGUGUAGUCC